RNAcentral lists this long non-coding RNA (433 nucleotides) under Sorghum bicolor (sorghum). RNAcentral describes it as "long non-coding RNA (SBIC_LNC000087)". Lineage: Eukaryota; Viridiplantae; Streptophyta; Magnoliopsida; Poales; Poaceae. The record is from RNAcentral.
UUUGUUCCUGGGGGCAGGGGCAGCUAGCGCCGCAGUGGCACCGGCGAUAGGAAGCGAGGGUACGUACGGGACGGCGAGGCAGUUCACUUGUGUGCGCGGGUCACCACCGUCCCGUACGUACGGGUACCACUACCACUUGCUGCUGCCGCAACGAGCCAACAAACGAUGGAUGCGUGUCUGCCCGUGUCGAUCCAAGGCGGAUCGAGCAGCGAGUGAAUGAGUGAAAGCGGCCCGCGGUCGGGCGAUCGAUCGCUUUGCGCAGGCAUGUUUGGCGCGGCCGAUGGGUCGCUCUUGUCCCGUAACCAAUUUAUUGCGGAUCUGGCGAUGGAUCCGCUAUCCAGGCGGGCAUGCACACGGCCAACCCGACGACACAAGAGAUGUGCGCUUGUCGUUUUACUUACGUUAUCGCCUCGCGGCCUCACAAGUCACACAU